GAGGAGCUUGCUCUUCAAAUCGAGUGGCGAACGGGUGAGUAACGCGUGAGGAACCUGCCUCAAAGAGGGGGACAACAGUUGGAAACGACUGCUAAUACCGCAUAAGCCCACGGCUCGGCAUCGAGCAGAGGGAAAAGGAGCAAUCCGCUUUGAGAUGGCCUCGCGUCCGAUUAGCUAGUUGGUGAGGUAACGGCCCACCAAGGCGACGAUCGGUAGCCGGACUGAGAGGUUGAACGGCCACAUUGGGACUGAGACACGGCCCAGACUCCUACGGGAGGCAGCAGUGGGGAAUAUUGCACAAUGGGGGAAACCCUGAUGCAGCGACGCCGCGUGGAGGAAGAAGGUCUUCGGAUUGUAAACUCCUGUUGUUGAGGAAGAUAAUGACGGUACUCAACAAGGAAGUGACGGCUAACUACGUGCCAGCAGCCGCGGUAAAACGUAGGUCACAAGCGUUGUCCGGAAUUACUGGGUGUAAAGGGAGCGCAGGCGGGAGAACAAGUUGGAAGUGAAAUCCAUGGGCUCAACCCAUGAACUGCUUUCAAAACUGUUUUUCUUGAGUAGUGCAGAGGUAGGCGGAAUUCCCGGUGUAGCGGUGGAAUGCGUAGAUAUCGGGAGGAACACCAGUGGCGAAGGCGGCCUACUGGGCACCAACUGACGCUGAGGCUCGAAAGUGUGGGUAGCAAACAGGAUUAGAUACCCUGGUAGUCCACACCGUAAACGAUGAUUACUAGGUGUUGGAGGAUUGACCCCUUCAGUGCCGCAGUUAACACAAUAAGUAAUCCACCUGGGG
Molecule: ribosomal RNA, 790 nt
Filed under: uncultured bacterium
Lineage: Bacteria
Description: bacterial SSU rRNA
Rfam family: Bacterial small subunit ribosomal RNA
Source: RNAcentral